AGGGGUUGGAAGGUAGACGCUAUUUUUGUGAAUCGAGUCAGGUCUGGGAAGAAGCAGCUCUAACAAUGUUGUAGCGGGUUAUUUUUUCAGCCUCUCUU
RNAcentral lists this signal recognition particle RNA (98 nucleotides) under Candidatus Liberibacter asiaticus. Its description in RNAcentral is "signal recognition particle sRNA small type". It matches the Rfam family "Bacterial small signal recognition particle RNA". From Rfam's summary of the family: The signal recognition particle (SRP) is a universally conserved ribonucleoprotein involved in the co-translational targeting of proteins to membranes. Archaeal SRP consists of a 7S RNA and homologues of the eukaryotic SRP19 and SRP54 proteins. Lineage: Bacteria; Pseudomonadati; Pseudomonadota; Alphaproteobacteria; Hyphomicrobiales; Rhizobiaceae. The record is from RNAcentral.